CACCUAGAAUUAGAGAAGAAAUGCAGCCCUUAAAAAAAAUAAAACCUAAUUUGGGUACUAUAAUUUAAAAGCAUGUAUUCAGAGGUAGGGAGACAUGUCCUAAGGUUCUCUUUUAUAGAAUAGAUACAAAUCCUAAGAUUGCAUGUUUGCUUUUAUUCCUUUCACAAUAAAAUAACUUUUACUAAACAACAAAGCUUUCAACUUUUUAAAAGACCUAUCUUUUUUUGUCAUAUGUUUCCCAAAUAUUAAUUUGUUAUACAAACCCCAAACUGAGGUUAUAAGAGAUCAAAACAGUGUGACAGGGUCAUUAAUUUAAUAGACUUCAAAAGAGGUCAUUAGGAUGCUGACUGAAAAUGUGCCCUUAUGUCUCAAUAACAGCAUAAGCAGGGCACCACUCACUCAGCAACAUCCUGGGGCCAAUACCAAGGCCAGACCUAUUAGAAUGCUCAUGAUAAACUAAAUGGCCAUAUCUUCAAUGCAUUAUACUUCAAUAAUGACCAUGAAGAACCAGAAGGACCUAUUAUAAAAUCAUCAGUUGUAAAAUUAAUGAUGGUGACCUUCUCCUAAAUGAAAAGACUAUAUCCUAUAAUGUUCUGUGUAUAAACUGGUAAGUAACAAGAUUUUUACUAAGUGACAAUCAUAAGCAUAUUUAGAACAGAACACACUGCUUCUUUUUUAAAAGCUGCCUGUAAUAUGAGACAUUUGCUUAUUACUAUCUGUUCAAUAUAAACUAAAAAACUUAAUUUUCCAGCAACAAUCUUUAAAAUUGCUUUUUAAAAGUUUUUGUUUUACAGUUUUAUUAUCUAAGACAGUUGAGUUACUGACCAGAUCAAAAUGAUCUCUGUAUGGGGAAGGAAUUUAUUUUCACUAUUCUUUUGAGCAGUUUUAUUUAUAAACCUUAUAUGAAGAAAAAUAUCACUGCUGGGUUUAACAAGAGAUAACACAACUUUUUUUAAUCUCACAAAUUACCUUCUUGACAAGUAAAUGUAUACAAGAAUGUAAAAUCUGCAUUUCACUUACAUAAGCGAUUUUAAGAUUCUGGAAGGUCUUAUGUACAAAUAUUUGCCAAAAACCUUCAAAUUAACUGUAUUUUGAUACAUUUAAAUGUUAAAUUUAUUUGUAGAAAAAGGACAUAAGUUUACUGAAGGAAUAUCAGAAAGUAUAUGAUUAUUCACUUUAUUAGUGGAACUAGUUUGUCCAAGGGCCAAUAGCAAGGCCACUUCCUCGCCAUCUAAUAAAAUAGACAUAUGUGCAGUGAAGCAUAAGACUGCUCUAGUAGAAAAAUGUGUAUAUCACAGUCAUCAAAAAAGGAACAAAAUAGUGAAUUUGUAAAAGUGAAAUGUAAUUAACAUUCUUAAGUAUUACUUUGAUAAAGCUAUAAGGUGAACAUGUUUCAUGUUUAAAUUUCCACAGUUUCUCUCUGAAAUGUGCUUUUUCCUGAGUUCUAAAAACAGGUAAUGCAUAUGAAUAAAUAAAACCAUGUAGUUAUGGACACCAAUAAAAGAAAAAUAAUUCUACAAACUAAUAAGGCAACAUACUAACAAUCUAGGUAUACCUUUGUCUGACCAUCCCAUUGACGGUAAACCAAGACCUGUGAUCUCUCUUCAUGAAGCUUUCCCAAAACUAGCCUGCCCAUACCAACUUGAUUCUUUCCAGCACUUAACAUAAAGUCAGCCUUGCUUGGGGCCCUACGUUAUAACCUUUAUUAUUAUUUUUAACCUGCUUGGCUUUUCUGUCAGUUUUUACUAUUUUAUACCAGAAUAAACCAACAGACAGUAAUGCUAUGAUUUUAUUUUUUUGAGUGUUAAUGACUUAUUACAUUAUAGUUUGGUGCAAAAGUAACUGCAGUUUUUGCUGAAAAAUACAUUUAAUGGCAAAAACC
Molecule: long non-coding RNA, 1882 nt
Organism: Sapajus apella (tufted capuchin)
Lineage: Eukaryota; Metazoa; Chordata; Mammalia; Primates; Cebidae
Exons: 2
Source: RefSeq, a predicted model, not a curated record